Molecule: ribosomal RNA, 252 nt
Filed under: Phascolarctobacterium faecium
Lineage: Bacteria; Bacillati; Bacillota; Negativicutes; Acidaminococcales; Acidaminococcaceae
Description: partial 16S ribosomal RNA
Rfam family: Bacterial small subunit ribosomal RNA
Source: RNAcentral
UACGUAGGUGGCGAGCGUUGUCCGGAAUUAUUGGGCGUAGAGAGCAUGUAGGCGGCUUAAUAAGUCGAGCGUGAAAAUGCGGGGCUCAACCCCGUAUGGCGCUGGAAACUGUUAGGCUUGAGUGCAGGAGAGGAAAGGGGAAUUCCCAGUGUAGCGGUGAAAUGCGUAGAUAUUGGGAGGAACACCAGUGGCGAAGGCGCCUUUCUGGACUGUGUCUGACGCUGAGAUGCGAAAGCCAGGGUAGCGAACGGG